GAUGAACGCUAGCGGGAGGCCUAACACAUGCAAGCCGAGCGGUAUUGUUUCUUCGGGAUUGAGAGAGCGGCGUACGGGUGCGUAACACGUGUGCAACCUGCCUUUAUCUGGGGGAUAGCCUUUCGAAAGGAAGAUUAAUACUCCAUAAUAUAUUGAACGGCAUCGUUUAAUAUUGAAAGCUCCGGCGGAUAGAGAUGGGCACGCGCAAGAUUGGCUAGUUGGUGAGGUAACGGCUCACCAAGGCGAUGAUCUUUAGGGGGGCUGAGAGGGUGAUCCCCCACGCGGGGACUGAGACACGGACCAGAAUCCUACGGGAGGCAGCAGUGAGGAAGAUGGGUCAAUGGGUGCAAGCCUGAACCAGCCAGCCCGCGUGAAGGACGACUGCCCUAUGGGUUGUAAACUUCUUUUGUAUAGGGAUAAACCUACCCUCGUGAGGGUAGCUGAAGGUACUAGACGAAUAAGCACCGGCUAACUCCGUG
RNAcentral lists this ribosomal RNA (479 nucleotides) under uncultured bacterium. RNAcentral's name for it is "partial 16S ribosomal RNA". It matches the Rfam family "Bacterial small subunit ribosomal RNA", at positions 28 to 507 of the family's 1533-position model. The record is from RNAcentral.